This 492-nucleotide ribosomal RNA is filed under the name uncultured bacterium. RNAcentral's name for it is "partial 16S ribosomal RNA". It matches the Rfam family "Bacterial small subunit ribosomal RNA", at positions 29 to 507 of the family's 1533-position model. The record is from RNAcentral.
AGUGAACGCUGGCGGUAGGCCUAACACAUGCAAGUCGAACGGCAGCACAGUAAGAGCUUGCUCUUACGGGUGGCGAGUGGCGGACGGGUGAGGAAUACAUCGGAAUCUACUUUUUCGUGGGGGAUAACGUAGGGAAACUUACGCUAAUACCGCAUACGACCUACGGGUGAAAGCAGGGGAUCUUCGGACCUUGCGCGAUUGAAUGAGCCGAUGUCGGAUUAGCUAGUUGGCGGGGUAAAGGCCCACCAAGUCGACGAUCCGUAGCUGGUCUGGGAGGAUGAUCGGCCACACUGGAACUGGGACACGGUCCAGACUCCUACGGGAGGCAGCAGUGGGGAAUAUUGGACAAUGGGCGCAAGCCUGAUCCAGCCAUACCGCGUGGGUGACGAAGGCCUUCGGGUUGUAAAGCCCUUUUGUUGGGAAAGAAAAGCAGCAGGUUAAUACCCCGCUGUUCUGACGGUACCCAAAGAAUAAGCACCGGCUAACUUCGUG